Molecule: ribosomal RNA, 485 nt
Filed under: uncultured bacterium
Lineage: Bacteria
Description: partial 16S ribosomal RNA
Rfam family: Bacterial small subunit ribosomal RNA
Source: RNAcentral
GAUGAACGCUAGCGAUAGGCUUAACACAUGCAAGUCGAGGGGCAGCGAGGGUAGCAAUACCUGUCGGCGACCGGCGCACGGGUGAGUAACGCGUAUGUAACCUGCCCGCAACAGGGGGAUAACCCGGCGAAAGUCGGACUAAUACCGCAUAAAACAGGGGUCCCGCAUGGGAAUAUUUGUUAAAGAUUUAUCGGUUGCGGAUGGGCAUGCGUACCAUUAGGUAGUUGGUGAGGUAACGGCUCACCAAGCCUUCGAUGGUUAGGGGUUCUGAGAGGAAGGUCCCCCACACUGGUACUGAGACACGGACCAGACUCCUACGGGAGGCAGCAGUGAGGAAUAUUGGUCAAUGGGCGAGAGCCUGACCCAGCCAAGUCGCGUGAAGGAUGACUGCCCUAUGGGUUGUAAACUUCUUUUACAAGGGAAUAAAAUGAGAUACGUGUAUUUUAUUGCAUGUACCUUGGGAAUAAGCAUCGGCUAACUCCGUG